AUUUGUUUAGCCGUAUGCCCGAACUGUCGCAAGAUGUAUACUUCUUAUGACAUGUACAUUUAGGGGCUACAAAAGGAAUUGUGAAAUAAUAAACAACGUUUGAGGACAGAUAGUGCUUUUAAACUUGUGGUUUUUGCUUAUGGCACAAAUUCUUUACCAUGAGUCAGACUCGUGGUUAUUAGCCAAGGAGUUAACAGUCAGUUGUGCAAAGGCUCACCGUGACGAUGGAGGGACGUGGCGCGCCAGUGAAGUGCUCGAUCACUUCCCAGUUGGAUUUUCUCAGCGGUGUAUGAGGAGUUCGAGGAGUGUUGGGUGUAUGCGGUUGAGAAGAUGGUGUCGAGGACUUGGAUCCCGGGGGAUCGAGCAACAGCUCCACCUUCGGCUUGCCACCGUCGCUGUUGCUCACGUGCUGUCGCAAGCUGGCCCAUCUUCGCGUGCUUCUCACGGACCCGGUUACAGAUCUGGUAGCCACCUCGCCCUGUAAAUCAAAUCGUUCCACUAGGUUACCGUUUGUGGAUGAUGAACGUGAUGGAAUUGGGGAUGAUGAACACGAUGCUUUGGAUGAAGAAUGGUUGAAGCAAUGGAGGCUAGAAGGGUCUAACGCCUUUGGAUCUUCUAUAACUUAAGACCACAUAGAAAAGACCACGCGUAAAUUGAAUCUUAUUUGUGUUAGAAAGUUAUGUUCACGUGGAAAGGCGGAUUUGUUCUGGAAUUAGGAAGAAUGAUGAAUUAGAACGUGAUGAUAUUGAUGAAUGAUAGAAUGGUGUAGAGUCUUUGAAUCUUCUAUUUUGUUAAUUUGCAUAAAUAUUUGUAUUAUUUUAGUAAUUUAGUAAUUAGUAAAUUUUAAUAAUUUACAUAAGGAAGAGAUGCAUAGAUUGAAUUUCAUUUAUGUUGAAGAGUUAUAUUCAUAUGCAGAAGUGGGCUUCUAGUUGGUGGGAUUAGCCUGUUACGUCAUCCAAUUGAUUCUGGCUAAUUUAUUUGUUAAUCCAUCGCUUUAUAGUUGGAAUAUAUGGUUGUUGAAGUGAUUACCUCACGAAAAACUCUAUGCCCUUUUUUCUUUCAUAUAUCUGUGACCUAGAGACCGUUGUUACCAAGAGAAUAGAAUUUAGUGAAAGAAAAAAUUGAAAAUAAGGAGAGGUCCAUAUUAUUCUGCCUUUGAAUGUAAAUUUUCUUUUGGGUUACAAGGUCUAGAAAGAAAAGAGCUACAAUAGAUUUCUAUUACUGUUUCUUGUAGCCUUCAGCUACAGCUACAAUGUUAAUUUUUUAGUAAUGUCCUUCGCUAUAAAUAUAUGAACGUGC
This 1299-nucleotide unclassified non-coding RNA is filed under the name Bombus terrestris (buff-tailed bumblebee). Its description in RNAcentral is "misc RNA ENSBTSG00005025370.1". The record is from RNAcentral. Lineage: Eukaryota; Metazoa; Arthropoda; Insecta; Hymenoptera; Apidae.